Molecule: long non-coding RNA, 480 nt
Organism: Malaya genurostris
Lineage: Eukaryota; Metazoa; Arthropoda; Insecta; Diptera; Culicidae
Exons: 4
Source: RefSeq, a predicted model, not a curated record
UCAUAUAGCAAAUAUUGUUGCUUGGAACUACAAAACUAGAUAUUUGAUUUGUCUCAGUGAGUUAGUUUAUUUCAAUAAAUAUUUUGUUAAAAAUAACAAAUAUUUGACUUGUGCAUUCCUGUCAGUUUCUUAACAAACAAUUCCAUAGAAAAUUUAACUUGCAAAAUAAGUUUACAAUGAACUAACUUUACAUGAAGAAUAAAUGACGUAGUCACUUAAGUCUAACUCCAUUUGUUCGUGAAGUGCAAUCUUAACCAGCAAGUCCUCGUCUAAACCGUAGUCUUUGUAUCUCUUUCAACGCGUGUGGCAAACCAGGAUGAUCGACAAUAUCGGCCUCAUCCAGGAUACGUGUCGCCUAAUAUUUCCACCACAACUGGAACUAGUUGACGCACAAGAGUCGGGUAACCAAAAAUGCGAUCGGAAAUUGAAAGAGAACGGCGUACGAUUCGACGCAGUUUGUGGCUAGAAGAAUCAAACGAG